GCCGAACAUAAAAACCUAAGGAAAAACCAUUUUUGAAGUUCAAACAUUCGACCAUCUAAUAGAUGUUACUGAAGUCCAGCAUUUGUUGCGGAUUCUCAAAUGUAUGUGGCACAGAUUUAACUCGGACGAGUAACUUGAUGUGUCGUUAUAAAGGUUUAGCCUAGACGGGUAACCUGAUAUAUAUAUUCAGCUCGGAUGAACAACUGGUGUAGUGUAGAUACCUGUGUAUCCAAGUUCGUUUACUAGAGUUCAUCGAGGGAUGUAAUUUAUAUGAAAAUGAGAAAUUGAAUGGGAUGGAAUGAACUUGAUAUCAAAUGGAAAAAUAUUGAAUGAAUUGAGUAUGAAAAAUUAAUUGGAGUAAUGUCUUUGACAUGUAUGUGAUUGUAUUAUCUCUUGAUUGAAUGUGUUUUUAAGAUUAAUUACCUAAAGUGACAUGAAUUGGCAUGUUAAGUAACUGUGGUAUCAAAUGGUUUUGAUUAUAAGUCAAUGCUUACAACGUUGGUGUUUUUUAUUGCCAUGUCUAGCCAAUUCUUAUGUCAAGCUAAAGUAACUUACAAAUGUUAGGUAAGAAUAAGGUAAGUUUUGUAUAAUACAUUUGAACUUACUAAGCAUCCUAUAUGCUUACAUUAUUUGUUUUCCCUUUCUUUGCAGAACUUGUCAAGUUGAAUCGUCUCGAAGCUCACACUAUCACCGAAUCGGUAGUUAUACGAUCAUUUUGAGUCUAGGGUUGUGGUAUCAAAUUGUACAUUUUUGCCAAAAACAAGAGCCACGUUUCGACGACCAACCUCUCUUAUUACAACGUCGGCUGACAAUAAGUGACGCCGUGACAUCAAAUGACAUGAAGUUGUGAUGUGACUUACUGUGUUGGCAACGUCACGAUGUGGAAGUGAUGAAAUCGCAACGCCGAUCCUAAAUUUUCAAGACUUUGCAAUUUGGUCUUAUUUCAUAUUCAGAUUUACAAAAGAGCUUUCAUAAGCUUGUAUAAGAUCUGAAAAUGAUUAUUUAACAUAAAUUGAAUGUGAUUGAUGCUUAA
Gossypium raimondii (Peruvian cotton) is the source of this 1033-nucleotide long non-coding RNA. RefSeq lists it as uncharacterized. The transcript is spliced from 3 exons. The record is from RefSeq and is a predicted model, not a curated record. Lineage: Eukaryota; Viridiplantae; Streptophyta; Magnoliopsida; Malvales; Malvaceae.